This 86-nucleotide transfer RNA is filed under the name Exserohilum turcica Et28A. Its description in RNAcentral is "tRNA-Ala". Lineage: Eukaryota; Fungi; Ascomycota; Dothideomycetes; Pleosporales; Pleosporaceae. The record is from RNAcentral.
UGAUACAGUCUAGGGGUAUGAUUUUCGCUUCGCAUAUUUCAAUGCGUACUUGUGAAAGGUCGUGGGUUCAAUUCCCACAGCGUCCA